UGACCCCAUGCCGAACUCAGAAGUGAAACGCCGUAGCGCCGAUGGUAGUGUGGGGCUUCCCCAUGUGAGAGUAGGGAACUGCCAGGC
Molecule: ribosomal RNA, 87 nt
Filed under: Pectobacterium parmentieri
Lineage: Bacteria; Pseudomonadati; Pseudomonadota; Gammaproteobacteria; Enterobacterales; Pectobacteriaceae
Also listed under: 1 other name
Source: RNAcentral